CCCUUAGAUGUUCUGGGCCGCACGCGCGCUACACUGAUGCAUUCAACGAGCCUAUCCUUGACCGACAGGUCCGGGUAAUCUUUGAAUCUGCAUCGUGACGGGGAUAGAUUAUUGCAAUUAUUAAUCUUCAACGAGGAAUGCCUAGUAGGCGCAAGUCAUCAGCUUGCGUCGAUUACGUCCCUGCCCUUUGUACACACCGCCCGUCGCUACUACCGAUUGAAUGGUUUAGUGAGGCCUUCUGACUGGCGCCGCUACUCUGGCAACAGAGCGGCGGAUGCCGGGAAGUUGGUCAAACUUGAUCAUUUAGAGGAAGUAAAAGUCGUAACA
This 327-nucleotide ribosomal RNA is filed under the name uncultured eukaryote. Its description in RNAcentral is "partial 18S ribosomal RNA". It matches the Rfam family "Eukaryotic small subunit ribosomal RNA", at positions 1470 to 1796 of the family's 1831-position model. The record is from RNAcentral.